This 484-nucleotide ribosomal RNA is filed under the name uncultured bacterium. RNAcentral describes it as "partial 16S ribosomal RNA". It matches the Rfam family "Bacterial small subunit ribosomal RNA", at positions 29 to 507 of the family's 1533-position model. The record is from RNAcentral.
AUUGAACGCUGGCGGCAUGCUUUACACAUGCAAGUCGAACGGCAGCGCGGGCUUCGGCCUGGCGGCGAGUGGCGAACGGGUGAGUAAUGCAUCGGAACGUGCCCAGUAGUGGGGGAUAGCCCAGCGAAAGCCGGAUUAAUACCGCAUACGACCUGAGGGUGAAAGCGGGGGACCGAAAGGCCUCGCGCUAUUGGAGCGGCCGAUGUCGGAUUAGCUAGUUGGUGGGGUAAAGGCUUACCAAGGCGACGAUCCGUAGCUGGUCUGAGAAGACGACCAGCCACACUGGGACUGAGACACGGCCCAGACUCCUACGGGAGGCAGCAGUGGGGAAUUUUGGACAAUGGGGGCAACCCUGAUCCAGCCAUGCCGCGUGCGGGAAGAAGGCCUUCGGGUUGUAAACCGCUUUUGUUCGGGAAGAAAUCCUCUGGGCUAAUACCCCGGGGGGAUGACGGUACCGGAAGAAUAAGCACCGGCUAACUACGUG